UACGGAGGGGGCAAGCGUUAUUCGGAUUUACUGGGCGUAAAGGGUGCGUAGGCUGUCGCGCAAGUCUGAUGUGAAAUCUUCACCACUCAACGGGAAGAGGUCAUUGGAAACUGCGCGACUUGAGUUUGGUAGAGGCUAGCGGAAUUCCUGGUGUAGCGGUGGAAUGUGUAGAUAUCAGGAAGAACACCUGUGGCGAAGGCGGCUAGCUGGGCCAAUACUGACGCUGAGGCACGAAAGCGUGGGGAGCAAACGGG
Molecule: ribosomal RNA, 254 nt
Filed under: uncultured bacterium
Lineage: Bacteria
Description: partial 16S ribosomal RNA
Rfam family: Bacterial small subunit ribosomal RNA
Source: RNAcentral